CCGGCUCGCAGCAGGCAGCUCCCGGGGGCCGGCGAUGGCAGGCGGUGGCGGGCGAUGGCCUCGGCCAAAGGACGGGGAGCGAAGUCCGGGAGGCAGCGGAACCGGGGUGCAGGGUGCGGUGAGGCGACCAGGGCGGGCGAGGUCCGGGACCUGGCAUUUGGGUCUCCCGGCCGCAGGCGCGCGCGCGAGGGUUUCAGCCUGUGUCUAGGAACUCUGUUUGGGUUCCACCAUCGGAGGAGAUGCCCUGGUUCAGGGGUAAAUCCUGACUUGUCUAAACCAAUCAUGACAGAGCCAUCUCCCUGCCUGCGGUUGGCUGGGGCUGAGCUCGUGACCGAGAUUUGACCAUGGAGACAGAUGUGGAAGUACUUGCCAUGGGCCUUCUUGUUAAAAAGAAACACAGAAUGCAGAAUUUCCUGGAUUUUAGGACGUUAUAUGACACCCCCAUCAGACUCCAAGGCAGCACCUCCUGAUGAAACACAUUAAUUAAUGGUUCUGCAGCAGAAUGUAAAAAAUAUUCUUAUCAAGCAAGACGAGUCAAGACUGCAAAUACCUGUGGAUUAGUCCACAUUGAGUCUUGCUGCUGAAUGAAAUAGCCUCAAACCUAGCAAAGCCCAGACAUCUUUCUGGUCUUCAGAACUUUGUGAAUUUUGGGUUGAGGAUAGGGACUGUGGACAUGAAUCAUUCUUCAAUGCUUUCGUCUGCAUUUCCCUGACUACUUGAGAUGUUGAACUGACACUGGCCCUGAUAUUGGUCCCCGUGUGUUAAUCCAGCACAUGUGGGGUUAAAACCGAAAGCACUCAUCCCCUUUACUGCUUACUCUUUGGCUAUCUGGCACCAGAAUCCUCCCUCCACGGAGGCAGACAAGGACACCCACCUGUGGAUUCCCUUAGCUCACCAGCCCUUUUCCUACAAGCAGCCACAUUCCUUGCAAGCUUUAAAACCCCUUGCCUCCCAUCUUUUGGGGAGAUGAGAGAAAUUUGAGGGCUCACUCUUGUCUCCCGGCUGACAUCGCCUGAAAUAAAAACCUUUCCUUGCUGUAAGCCUGGUGUUCAGGUUUUAUUUGGCUCCUCUUGUGUGGUGGGUGAAGAAC
This 1090-nucleotide long non-coding RNA is filed under the name Equus asinus (donkey). Its description in RNAcentral is "lncRNA (ENSEASG00005027238.1)". The record is from RNAcentral. Lineage: Eukaryota; Metazoa; Chordata; Mammalia; Perissodactyla; Equidae.